UACGUAGGGUGCGAGCGUUAAUCGGAAUUACUGGGCGUAAAGCGUGCGCAGGCGGUGAGCUGUGUCCGAUGUGAAAGCCCCGGGCUUAACCUGGGAAUGGCAUUGGAAACUGGCUCGCUGGAGUGUGGCAGAGGGGGGUGGAAUUCCGCGUGUAGCAGUGAAAUGCGUAGAGAUGCGGAGGAACACCGAUGGCGAAGGCAGCCCCCUAGGCUAACACUGACGCUCAGGCACGAAAGCGUGGGGAGCAAACAGG
This 253-nucleotide ribosomal RNA is filed under the name uncultured bacterium. RNAcentral's name for it is "partial 16S ribosomal RNA". It matches the Rfam family "Bacterial small subunit ribosomal RNA", at positions 524 to 776 of the family's 1533-position model. The record is from RNAcentral.